CCACUACCUAGCCCACCCAACCCCCAAACCACCGUCACACCCACAAACAAACCAUUUGCCAAGCCAAGUAUAUGAGAUAGAACCGCACCAAGGAGCAAUAGUCACAAGUACCGCAAGGGAACAAUGAAAUAUAAAUGAAACCCCAAAGCACAAAAUAGCAGGGACCUGCCCCCGUACCUCUUGCAUCAUGGUUUAGCCAGCAACAGACAAAUAAAGCGCCCUACACCUGUCACCCCGAACCCGGACGAGCUACUCACGGGCAAUCUUAAAACUAACGGAUGAACCCAUCUCUGUGGCAAAAGAGUGGGAUGACCCUUGAGUAGUAGCGAAACGCCAACCGCGCCCGGAGAUAGCUGGUUGCUCAAAUAAAUGAAUAAAAGUUCAACACCAGCCCAAACCACCACGCCCCACACCACUAAGCCUGCCUGACCCUAGCUGGUAGAUAAUCAACAGGGGUACAGCCCUGUUGAACCUGGACACAACCAACACUAGAGGACACCCCACCCCACCCCGCGCCCAGUUGGCCCUAAAGCAGCCACCAAAAAAUAUAGCGUCAAAGCAAAACUCAAAUAAAAUACCACACCACACCAACACCCCCUAAAUCACAAACUGAGCCACUCUACUCACUAACACUAGAGGAGAAACUGCUAAAACUAGUAACUUAGCCCGAGGCCCCCCUCAACCACGGCACACCCCUACAUACUAAUUAUUAUCGGACCAGUAAGCCACCCCAGAAACACACCUUACCCAAACACCCGUCACCCCAACCCAGGCGUGCCGCCCCCACAGAGCAACAGCCAUAAAAGGAACUCGGCUAACUCACCCCACCUGUUUACCAAAAACAUCGCCUUUAGCCACACAAGUAUUAAAGGUCCCGCCUGCCCAGUGAACCAGUUUUCAACGGCCGCGGUAUUCUAACCGUGCAAAGGUAGCGUAAUCACUUGUCCUCCAAAUAAGGACCAGUAUGAAUGGCUAAAUGAGGGUGAAACUGUCUUAUAUGGCUACCCAGUGAAACUGAUCCCCUAGUACAAAAGCUAGGAUAUCCCCACAAGACGAGAAGACCCUGUGGAGCUUACAACCCCGCGCACUAACAUCAGGCACCAACACCUACGGGUAAACAAAAGUCUACUAAUAGGCCACAGUUUAAGUUGGGGCAACUGCGGAGCACAAAACAACCUCCGUGCACCAGGGCAUCCAGCCCCUUAAAGAGGGACACCUCAAAAAGCCUAAAACUGACCCAGUAAUACUGACAACCGAACCAAGUUACCCCAGGGAUAACAGCGCUAUCCUCUCCAAGAGUCCAUAUCGCCAAGAGGGUUUACGACCUCGAUGUUGGAUCAGGACCUCCUAGUGGUGCAGCCGCUACUAAAGGCCCGUUUGUUCAACGGCUAACGUCCUACGUGAUCUGAGUUCAGACCGGAGAAAUCCAGGUCGGUUUCUAUCUGUGCCAAAUCUUCUUUAGUACGAAAGGACCAAGAAGACAGUACCACUGCCACAAGCACGCACUGCCAAAAAGCCUGAAAACAACUAAAAAUCUUAUAACCCCCAAACCACGCCCCUAGACCAGGGGCAAACUUG
Molecule: ribosomal RNA, 1578 nt
Filed under: Hemidactylus mandebensis
Lineage: Eukaryota; Metazoa; Chordata; Lepidosauria; Squamata; Gekkonidae
Description: 16S ribosomal RNA
Rfam family: Bacterial large subunit ribosomal RNA
Source: RNAcentral